Molecule: non-coding RNA, 112 nt
Organism: Acanthosepion pharaonis
Lineage: Eukaryota; Metazoa; Mollusca; Cephalopoda; Sepiida; Sepiidae
Source: the annotation of a GenBank genome assembly
ACGGCUACAUCAUGUUAAAACACCGGUUCCCAUGCAGUCAACAGAGUUAAGCAACGUUGAGCAUGAUUAGUACCUAGACGGGUGACCGUUUGGGAAUACCAGAUGCUGUAAG